GAUGGUCCGAGUAGUGAGUUAUCUCACGUGAUUGCUCACAGUCAGUUACAGAGAUUGAACUCCUUGUUCUACUACUUCCCCCUCCUCAUACUGCACUUGACUAGUCUUAA
This 110-nucleotide Y RNA is filed under the name Microcebus murinus (gray mouse lemur). Its description in RNAcentral is "Y RNA (ENSMICG00000044933.1)". It matches the Rfam family "Y RNA". From Rfam's summary of the family: Y RNAs are components of the Ro ribonucleoprotein particle (Ro RNP), in association with Ro60 and La proteins. Lineage: Eukaryota; Metazoa; Chordata; Mammalia; Primates; Cheirogaleidae. The record is from RNAcentral.